UACGUAGGGUGCAAGCGUUGUCCGGAAUUAUUGGGCGUAAAGAGCUCGUAGGCGGCUUGUCGCGUCGGCUGUGAAAACCUGGGGCUCAACCCCGGGCCUGCAGCCGAUACGGGCAAGCUAGAAUUCGGUAGGGGAGACUGGAAUUCCUAGUGUAGCGGUGAAAUGCGCAGAUAUCAGGAGGAACACCGGUGGCGAAGGCGGGUCUCUGGGCCGAUAUUGACGCUGAGGAGCGAAAGCGUGGGGAGCAAACAGG
RNAcentral lists this ribosomal RNA (253 nucleotides) under uncultured bacterium. RNAcentral's name for it is "partial 16S ribosomal RNA". It matches the Rfam family "Bacterial small subunit ribosomal RNA", at positions 524 to 776 of the family's 1533-position model. The record is from RNAcentral.